RNAcentral lists this ribosomal RNA (253 nucleotides) under uncultured bacterium. RNAcentral's name for it is "partial 16S ribosomal RNA". It matches the Rfam family "Bacterial small subunit ribosomal RNA", at positions 524 to 776 of the family's 1533-position model. The record is from RNAcentral.
GACGGAGGAGGCAAGCGUUAUCCGGAAUUCUUGGGCGUAACGGGUACGUAGGCGGCUGGUCAAGUCUGGGGUCAAAGGCCACAGCUCAACUGUGGGAAGGCCCUGGAAACUGACCGGCUAGAGUGAGGUAGGGGUUGCGGGAAUUCCCGGUGUAGCGGUGAAAUGCGUAGAGAUCGGGAAGAACACCUGAGGCGGAAGCGCGCAACUGGGCCUCAACUGACGCUGAGGUACGAAAGCUAGGUGAGCGAAUGGG